RNAcentral lists this ribosomal RNA (403 nucleotides) under uncultured bacterium. RNAcentral's name for it is "bacterial SSU rRNA". It matches the Rfam family "Bacterial small subunit ribosomal RNA", at positions 355 to 775 of the family's 1533-position model. The record is from RNAcentral.
UAGGGAAUAUUAGUAAUGGGCGAAAGCCUGAACUAGCAACGCCGCGUGUGCGAAGAAGGCCUUCGGGUUGUAAAGCACUUUUUGAGAGGAUGAGGAAGGACGGUACUCUCAGAAUAAGUCUCGGCUAACUACGUGCCAGCAGCCGCGGCAACGCGUAGGAGGCAAACGUUAUCCGGAUUUACUGGGCGUAAAGCGCGUGUAGGUGGUUUGGUAAGUAGGGCGUGAAAGCUCCUGGCUCAACUGGGAGAGGCCGUUCUAAACUGCCGAACUAGAGGAUGGUAGAGGGAGGUGGAAUUCCGGGUGUAGCGGUGGAAUGCGCAGAUAUCCGGAGGAACACCAGUGGCGAAAGCAGCCCCCUGGACCAUUCCUGACACUCAGACGCGAAAGCUAGGGUAGCAAACGG